AUGACAUCAGUACGCUGUUUGAUGCAGCUAGCAGCUCAGUAUGACUUAGAGUUACAUAAGAUGGAUGUCAAAACAGCAUAUCUACAUGCUCCUAUUGACUGUGAAGUGUACAUGGAGCAACCAGAGGGUUUUGAAGUCAGGUCAGAUACAGGUGAGCAACUAGUCUGCAAACUGAACAAGUCACUGUACGGCCUGAAACAGUCAGGAAGGAACUGGAACAAAAUGUUGCAUGAUCACCUUAGUGAAAAUGGUUUUACACAGAACCCAGCUGAUCACUGUGUUUAUAACAAACAAACUGCAACAGAAAGGAUCAUUUUGAUAAUUUGGGUCGAUUAUCUAAGUAUCGCUGCUAGUGAUAGUGACUCACUCACAAGUGUAAAAGAAAUGUUAAGUGAAAAAUUUAAGAUGAAAGAUCUUGGGAGGCUUGGACAUUUCCUAGGCAUUGAUUUUACACAAAGUGAAGGGAAAAUAAGGAUGAACCAAACAAGGUACAUAACCAAGAUCCUGGAAAGGUUUGGUAUGUCAGACUGUAAAACAAGGUCAACACCAUGUGAACAAAAACCAAACUUUGAUGGUGAUGGUGAACUUAUUGAUUCAAAAAGGUAUCGUGAAGUGAUAGGCAGCUUGAUAUAUGUGAUGACAUGUACAAGACCGGAUAUCAGUUGGAUUGUCAGCAAGCUGUCACAAUACCUAUCAGAACCAAAAGAGCACCACUGGAUAACAGCUAAACAUGUGUUGAGGUACUUGAAGGGAACAAUGAAUCAGGAGUUGUGUUACAAAAAGGGGGUGGAAAAACUCAACCUCGUAGCAUAUAGUGAUGCUGAUUGGGCAGCAGAUCAAAGUGACAGACGAAGCAUAACAGGGUAUUGUUUUAGUUUAACUAAAUGUGGACCUGUCAUUUCAUGGAGGUCUAAGAAGCAGCCAACAGUAGCUUUAUCUACAUGUGAAGCAGAGUACAUGGCACUGGCUGCUACUACACAAGAAAGUUUGUACCUUGUACAGUUAUUGGGCGAGAUGGAUAGUGAGUGCCAAUAUACACCAGUAACAAUCUUUGAAGAUAACCAAGGUGCAAUUGCUCUGUCAAAGAACCCAGUAUGUCGUCAGAGAUGUAAACAUGUCGACAUCAGAUAUCAUUUCUUUCGAUCUGCACUCAGUGAUGGUAAAAUAAGUAUUGAAUAUUGUCCAACGGCAGACAUGGCUGCAGAUGUUUUGAUUAAACCUGUAACGAAGUUCAAAAAUGAAAAAUUCUUGGGUUACAUGUUUGGAAUAUAA
This 1272-nucleotide long non-coding RNA is filed under the name Salmo trutta (river trout). RNAcentral describes it as "lncRNA (ENSSTUG00000015082.1)". Lineage: Eukaryota; Metazoa; Chordata; Actinopteri; Salmoniformes; Salmonidae. The record is from RNAcentral.